This 104-nucleotide small nuclear RNA is filed under the name Fukomys damarensis (Damara mole-rat). The record is from RNAcentral. Lineage: Eukaryota; Metazoa; Chordata; Mammalia; Rodentia; Bathyergidae.
AUGCUUGCUUUCAACAGCAUGUGUACUUAAGUUGGAAUGAUACAAGGUCAGCAUGACCUUGGCACCAGUAUGAGACACAAAUUCACAAAAUGUUUAUUUUUUCU